RNAcentral lists this ribosomal RNA (2909 nucleotides) under Klebsiella michiganensis. RNAcentral describes it as "23S ribosomal RNA". It matches the Rfam family "Bacterial large subunit ribosomal RNA". Lineage: Bacteria; Pseudomonadati; Pseudomonadota; Gammaproteobacteria; Enterobacterales; Enterobacteriaceae. The record is from RNAcentral.
GGUUAAGCGACUAAGCGUACACGGUGGAUGCCCUGGCAGUCAGAGGCGAUGAAGGACGUGCUAAUCUGCGAAAAGCGUCGGUAAGGUGAUAUGAACCGUUACAGCCGGCGAUGUCCGAAUGGGGAAACCCAGUGCAAUUCGUUGCACUAUCGUUAACUGAAUACAUAGGUUAACGAGGCGAACCGGGGGAACUGAAACAUCUAAGUACCCCGAGGAAAAGAAAUCAACCGAGAUUCCCCCAGUAGCGGCGAGCGAACGGGGAGCAGCCCGGAGUCUGAAUCAGCUUGUGUGUUAGUGGAAGCGUCUGGAAAGUCGCAGGGUACAGGGUGAUACUCCCGUACACUAAAGCACACAGGUUGUGAACUCGAAGAGUAGGGCGGGACACGUGGUAUCCUGUCUGAAUAUGGGGGGACCAUCCUCCAAGGCUAAAUACUCCUGACUGACCGAUAGUGAACCAGUACCGUGAGGGAAAGGCGAAAAGAACCCCGGCGAGGGGAGUGAAAAAGAACCUGAAACCGUGUACGUACAAGCAGUAGGAGCCCACUAGUUGGGUGACUGCGUACCUUUUGUAUAAUGGGUCAGCGACUUAUAUUCUGUAGCAAGGUUAACCGUAUAGGGGAGCCGCAGGGAAACCGAGUCUUAACUGGGCGUUAAGUUGCAGGGUAUAGACCCGAAACCCGGUGAUCUAGCCAUGGGCAGGUUGAAGGUUGGGUAACACUAACUGGAGGACCGAACCGACUAAUGUUGAAAAAUUAGCGGAUGACUUGUGGCUGGGGGUGAAAGGCCAAUCAAACCGGGAGAUAGCUGGUUCUCCCCGAAAGCUAUUUAGGUAGCGCCUCGUGAAUUCAUCUUCGGGGGUAGAGCACUGUUUCGGCUAGGGGGUCAUCCCGACUUACCAACCCGAUGCAAACUACGAAUACCGAAGAAUGUUAUCACGGGAGACACACGGCGGGUGCUAACGUCCGUCGUGAAGAGGGAAACAACCCAGACCGCCAGCUAAGGUCCCAAAGUCAUGGUUAAGUGGGAAACGAUGUGGGAAGGCCCAGACAGCCAGGAUGUUGGCUUAGAAGCAGCCAUCAUUUAAAGAAAGCGUAAUAGCUCACUGGUCGAGUCGGCCUGCGCGGAAGAUGUAACGGGGCUAAACCAUGCACCGAAGCUGCGGCAGCGACACUAUGUGUUGUUGGGUAGGGGAGCGUUCUGUAAGCCGUUGAAGGUGGCCUGUGAGGGUUGCUGGAGGUAUCAGAAGUGCGAAUGCUGACAUAAGUAACGAUAAUGCGGGUGAAAAACCCGCACGCCGGAAGACCAAGGGUUCCUGUCCAACGUUAAUCGGGGCAGGGUGAGUCGACCCCUAAGGCGAGGCCGAAAGGCGUAGUCGAUGGGAAACAGGUUAAUAUUCCUGUACUCGGUGUUACUGCGAAGGGGGGACGGAGAAGGCUAUGUUGGUACGGGCGACGGUUGUCCCGGUUUAAGCAUGUAGGCGGAUGUUCCAGGUAAAUCCGGAACGUCACUAACGCUGAGGUGUGAUGACGAGGCACUACGGUGCUGAAGUGACAAAUGCCCUGCUUCCAGGAAAAGCCUCUAAGCAUCAGGUAACAUCAAAUCGUACCCCAAACCGACACAGGUGGUCAGGUAGAGAAUACCAAGGCGCUUGAGAGAACUCGGGUGAAGGAACUAGGCAAAAUGGUGCCGUAACUUCGGGAGAAGGCACGCUGAUGGUAGGUGAAGCGACUUGCUCGUGGAGCUGAAAUCAGUCGAAGAUACCAGCUGGCUGCAACUGUUUAUUAAAAACACAGCACUGUGCAAACACGAAAGUGGACGUAUACGGUGUGACGCCUGCCCGGUGCCGGAAGGUUAAUUGAUGGGGUUAUCCGUAAGGAGAAGCUCUUGAUCGAAGCCCCGGUAAACGGCGGUACCGUAACUAUAACGGUCCUAAGGUAGCGAAAUUCCUUGUCGGGUAAGUUCCGACCUGCACGAAUGGCGUAAUGAUGGCCAGGCUGUCUCCACCCGAGACUCAGUGAAAUUGAACUCGCUGUGAAGAUGCAGUGUACCCGCGGCAAGACGGAAAGACCCCGUGAACCUUUACUAUAGCUUGACACUGAACACUGGUCCUUGAUGUGUAGGAUAGGUGGGAGGCUUUGAAGUGUGGACGCCAGUCUGCAUGGAGCCAUCCUUGAAAUACCACCCUUUAAUGGCUGGUGUUCUAACGUGGGCCCCUAAUCGGGGUUGCGGACAGUGUCUGGUGGGUAGUUUGACUGGGGCGGUCUCCUCCUAAAGAGUAACGGAGGAGCACGAAGGUCAGCUAAUCCUGGUCGGACAUCAGGAGGUUAGUGCAAUGGCAUAAGCUGGCUUGACUGCGAGCGUGACGGCGCGAGCAGGUGCGAAAGCAGGUCAUAGUGAUCCGGUGGUUCUGAAUGGAAGGGCCAUCGCUCAACGGAUAAAAGGUACUCCGGGGAUAACAGGCUGAUACCGCCCAAGAGUUCAUAUCGACGGCGGUGUUUGGCACCUCGAUGUCGGCUCAUCACAUCCUGGGGCUGAAGUAGGUCCCAAGGGUAUGGCUGUUCGCCAUUUAAAGUGGUACGCGAGCUGGGUUUAGAACGUCGUGAGACAGUUCGGUCCCUAUCUGCCGUGGGCGCUGGAGAAUUGAGGGGGGCUGCUCCUAGUACGAGAGGACCGGAGUGGACGCAUCACUGGUGUUCGGGUUGUCAUGCCAAUGGCAUUGCCCGGUAGCUAAAUGCGGAAGAGAUAAGUGCUGAAAGCAUCUAAGCACGAAACUUGCCCCGAGAUGAGUUCUCCCUGACCCUUUAAGGGUCCUGAAGGAACGUUGAAGACGACGACGUUGAUAGGCCGGGUGUGUAAGCGCAGCGAUGCGUUGAGCUAACCGGUACUAAUGAACCGUGAGGCUUAACCUU